This 497-nucleotide ribosomal RNA is filed under the name uncultured bacterium. Its description in RNAcentral is "partial 16S ribosomal RNA". It matches the Rfam family "Bacterial small subunit ribosomal RNA", at positions 28 to 507 of the family's 1533-position model. The record is from RNAcentral.
GAUGAACGCUGGCGGCGUGCCUAAUACAUGCAAGUCGAGCGAACGGACGAGAAGCUUGCUUCUCUGAUGUUAGCGGCGGACGGGUGAGUAACACGUGGAUAACCUACCUAUAAGACUGGGAUAACUUCGGGAAACCGGAGCUAAUACCGGAUGAUAUUUUGAACCGCAUGGUUCAAAAGUGAAAGACGGUCUUGCUGUCACUUAUAGAUGGAUCCGCGCUGCAUUAGCUAGUUGGUAAGGUAACGGCUUACCAAGGCAACGAUGCAUAGCCGACCUGAGAGGGUGAUCGGCCACACUGGAACUGAGCCACGGUCCAGACUCCUACGGGAGGCAGCAAUAGGGAAUCUUCCGCAAUGGGCGAAAGCCUGACGGAGCAACGCCGCGUGAGUGAUGAAGGUCUUCGGAUCGUAAAACUCUGUUAUUAGGGAAGAACAUAUGUGUAAGUAACUGUGCACAUCUUGACGGUACCUAAUCAGAAAGCCACGGCUAACUACGUG